GAUGUCACUCUUUGGAGCUCCUGGGGCAGGAUUCAUCAAAUGAAUAUGCCAUAGAGGCUGUCAAGGUUCAGGGGAAAUCAACUCAUCUGAAAUCGAAAGCCCAGGCUGCACUGAUUAUAUUGAAGAGGGCGCAGUGAGAGCUUCCAGCUCAUCAGAAGAAAAUCCUCCAUGCCUCCAACCGUGUUGGUAUCUCAGCUGCAGGGCUUACUGCAGAUGCCAGACUGUGAUGGAUUUCAUGCGCCAGGAGCGUUUGAUUCCAGAUGUGUGUUUGACACUCUUCCUCUGUGUCCUGUUGUAUCUCUAAUUGGGAGCAAGACAGAAACCAGCAUAACAGGCUGGCUGGAGACCUUAUGGUGCUUGUUGCUGGCUGUGAUGACAGGUGCCACCAUAUUCCCCAUAUUUUCCAAAUCUGUCCAUCUGGGAUUUUGACCGCAGAGCUAUGUCCACUGAAGCUCAUUCUCAAUCAGCUCCUACUUAUGUGGAGAGACUUGUGUAAGUUUAUGGAGUAUGAUUCGAGUGAGCUGCUUAAAGUGGUCUGCAUGCCUUAAGAGAGACAUUUCUGCAAGGCAGGACUUAACUACACUCAAUGUUUCUGCUGGAAUUGCUGGCAAAGGUAUGGGGCUUACCACCUGUGGUGAUGAUGCUGCGUCUCCAUUCCUGGAAAGACCUGGAGAAAGGUCACAGAGGAAAGCACGGCCCGCUGCACCUGCCGACGCACCUGCAGAGAAGG
Molecule: long non-coding RNA, 730 nt
Filed under: Homo sapiens (human)
Lineage: Eukaryota; Metazoa; Chordata; Mammalia; Primates; Hominidae
Description: non-protein coding lnc-OSBPL5-1:1
Source: RNAcentral